UAUAAAGUACACAAAUACUCGCUAAAAAGCAAAGAUUAUAUAACCCCCAUUUAGCACAAAAAGGAUGCCUUUAUGAUGUCCAUCUGCAGCCAAAUUCUGCCUACAUUCCAUCUCAGAGCAUAUAGAUAAGUGCAUUUCUCAAAUUCUGUGGAGGCUAUAGAACUUAAAUAUGAAGACACAUUACUGGUUUCAUUAGAAGCUGUAAUAUACUUGAUUUCAGAGACUGGAUCUUUGUCACAAGGUCUGCAUUAACUCCCAUUUGUUCUUAUUCUGAGGAAAAUAAAGCGUAUUUCUGGAAUUGAAACCUUGAUCUACCAGAGGAAGGAAUUUGCCUUUGGGCUGCCAGCUGCAGGAAGCACAAAAAGCUCAGGAGGGGCAACUUCAUCUUCUCAGUCCUGGAGCUCGUCACAUGCAGAGCCCCUGAAGGAGCAAUAACCACAGGUUUAUCUCUGCAAGCCUGGCUGCACACUGUAAAUGGCAAACACAGCUACAGUACUAGUCAGCAGUGGAAUGUGAUGGUUCUGUCCUCCACCAUAUAAUUUAAAACCUGCUCUCACCCUUGGCAAAUCUCUCAAUUAAAAUCCCAAUCACAGCUUUUCUUGGGCUUUUGGAUAUCAUAAGCCCAAGGGGAGAAACACUGUUUUCUACUAAAAAAAUCAGGCGGUGCUUCAUCUCUACCCAAUAUAUUAGUCAUGCAGAAAAAAAUGCAUUAAAAGAAAUUCAUGUUUCUUAGAAUGAGGUAACUCAGAGCUUGCAAAGCUGCCAGUCUGUAUUUUCAGUUCAACAGGAUAAAGGAACUGGACAUGUAAAAAUAAUUUUCUUGCAAAUUGUACCAAGAUGACUUUAAACAGCUAAAUAAUUGCAAUUACAAUGACAUUAUUUUCAGGCCUUUAAGGAAAAAAAAUGAGGUUAUGUAAGAAUGAAGUGCAACAGAAGUAUUUGUUCUUUCAUAUUUUUGAACAUUUGGAUGUGAUUUGUCACUGUGUUUACGUUUAGAUGCUUUGUGGAUCAAGGCAUGAUGGAGGAAUUAGGUUUCACUUAUAUGAAAAUUCAGGCAAGAUUAAUUUUGUUCUGUAGCCUUUUUUAAGCCUGGGUUUUAACAUUCCACAUCAACUGUCACACUGAGACAGGGGUUAGGUGAACAUCUGCCAGUAGCACCACAAGCAGUAUUGGUGAUUUUGAGUAGUAACUGGAAUUGGAAGUUUUGCUGAAAAUUAUGAGGUUAAAUAAUAACAAAAAAUCAAAACUUAAAAAAAAAAAUUUGUUUUCAUCUGUCCUGUUUUCUUAAGCGUUCACAUUUCAAAACUUAUCCAUGUGCCCAUAAGAGCUGGAAAAAAAAAUUUCUCAUGCAUUGAAAAAGAGAAGCUGAGUUUCCCAUGUUCCAGGAGCUGGGACUGCUGAAAGGACAACAGAAUAAAUUUUGAGAAUUGCAAUGUUCUGUAACAGAAAUAGUUGGUGAGAGUUAAAAUAGCAUCACGUUCUUUUGGCUGCAUAACUUUGAUAUUUAAAUUAUCUGCUGCAUUCCCUUCCUCUGAUAACUGAACCUUAUGUAAUGGAAAACAAUAAUCUAAUAUCCUAAUAGACUUUUAACAUGGCCAUUAGCCAGCACGUCCAGUGGAAAUAAAUGCCUAUAUUAUUAGUCCAAUCUAUCACGAGAUCUUGCAGCAUUUGGGACAUUCCCUUGGGUCAUCAUUGCACACACCUCCUAUAAUAAAUCUUAAAUUGUGACAAAUAAUGUCUUUUUCCUGUGGAUACCCCCUCUCUUCUAUAUCUGUUUGUUUUCUAAAAUAUAGUGGAUUUUUUAUGCAGCGGGAAAAAUGGUGGUUAAUGAAUGAUAAAAAAAUAUAAUUUAUCCUAUUAAAGCCCAGUCUUUGUUUUCUGUUUCUGUGUGGUUUAGACCUUG
This 1903-nucleotide long non-coding RNA is filed under the name Corvus moneduloides (New Caledonian crow). Its description in RNAcentral is "lncRNA (ENSCMUG00000002329.2)". The record is from RNAcentral. Lineage: Eukaryota; Metazoa; Chordata; Aves; Passeriformes; Corvidae.